UUGUCUCAAAGAUUAAGCCAUGCAUGUCUCAGUACAUACCGAAUUAAGGUGAAACCGCGAAAGGCUCAUUAUAUCAGUUAUGGUUCAUUAGAUCGUACUUCACAUUUACUUGGAUAACUGUGGUAAUUCUAGAGCUAAUACAUGCAAACAGAACUCCGACCGGAGACGGAAGGAGCGCUUUUAUUAGAUCAAAACCGAUGGGCGUCGGCGGCCGGCGCGAUCGUGCGCCGCGUCGUCGUCGUCGCAUAGCUCUCACGAUGAAUCUGAAUAACUUUAUGCCGAUCGCACGGUCAAGCACCGGCGACGCAUCUUUCAAAUGUCUGCCUUAUCAACUUUCGAUGGUAGGUUAUGCGCCUACCAUGGUUGUAACGGGUAACGGGGAAUCAGGGUUCGAUUCCGGAGAGGGAGCCUGAGAAACGGCUACCACAUCCAAGGAAGGCAGCAGGCGCGCAAAUUACCCACUCCCGGCACGGGGAGGUAGUGACGAAAAAUAACGAUACGGGACUCAUCCGAGGCCCCGUGAUCGGAAUGAGCACACUUUAAAUCCUUUAACUAGGAUCAAUUGGAGGGCAAGUCUGGUGCCAGCAGCCGCGGUAAUUCCAGCUCCAAUAGCGUAUAUUAAAGUUGCUGCGGUUAAAAAGCUCGUAGUCGAAAUUGUGUCCCGGGCCGCCGGUUCGUCGCUCGCGACGUCAACUGGCGCGCACGCGGGACGUCCAGCCGGUGCUCGAACCCGCCGACGGUGCUCUUAACCGAGUGUCCAGGCGGGGGCCGGCAACGUUACUUUGAACAAAUUAAAGUGCUCAAAGCAGGCUAAACUGCGCUCGCAUAAUCAGUGCAUGGAAUAAUCGAAUAGGACCUCUGUUCUAUUUUGUUGGCUUUUGUAGAACAAACAGAGGUAAUGAUCAAUGGGUGCGGAUGGGGGCAUUCGUAUUGCGACGUUAGAGGUGAAAUUCUUGGAUCGUCGCAAGACGCACCAAAGCGAAAGCAUUUGCCAAAAACGCUUUCAUCGAUCAAGAACGAAAGUUAGAGGUUCGAAGGCGAUCAGAUACCGCCCUAGUUCUAACCAUAAACUAUGCCAGCCAGCGAUCCGCCGAAGUUACUACUAUGACUCGGCGGGCAGCUACCGGGAAACCAAAGCUUUUGGGUUCCGGGGGAAGUAUGGUUGCAAAGCUGAAACUUAAAGGAAUUGACGGAAGGGCACCACCAGGAGUGGAGCCUGCGGCUUAAUUUGACUCAACACGGGAAACCUCACCAGGCCCGGACACCGAAAGGAUUGACAGAUUGAGAGCUCUUUCUUGAUUCGGUGGGUGGUGGUGCAUGGCCGUUCUUAGUUGGUGGAGCGAUUUGUCUGGUUAAUUCCGAUAACGAACGAGACUC
Molecule: ribosomal RNA, 1377 nt
Filed under: Lampyridae sp. UPOL RK0394
Lineage: Eukaryota; Metazoa; Arthropoda; Insecta; Coleoptera; Lampyridae
Description: SSU rRNA
Rfam family: Eukaryotic small subunit ribosomal RNA
Source: RNAcentral